Molecule: long non-coding RNA, 1177 nt
Organism: Homo sapiens (human)
Lineage: Eukaryota; Metazoa; Chordata; Mammalia; Primates; Hominidae
Product: long intergenic non-protein coding RNA 1570
Source: Ensembl
GCAGACAAGCUGGGCCCAGAGAUGAGCUCCCUCCCAGGGGCGGUGUCCGGAGUGACAGCUCCAGGAAGCGGCCACCAGGUGGCGUGUGCGCCUUACUUCCUUCCCAGGUUUCCAGCCGCGGGAGGCAGAGGGUGGUGCUGGGGUUCCAGGAAGCCGAAGGUCCUUUCACAGAUGGACCGUUAAGCCAGCCCAGGGGACGGCAGAGCAGCCUGAGGGAGCAAGAACUGUCACCACGGUCUGCCCGCGAAGCACUGAGGUGAUGCUGGGGUUGCAGUGAGCUGUCAAACUAGAUGUGUCAGAAAUGAGAAAGGAGAUGAGAGAACAAAUUAGAAUACAGAGUGAUCGACACUUUGAUGAAGGAAGUAAGUGGAGCCUGGGGUCCAUGAAACCCACUGCCAAACCAACCCAGACAGAGACAAAGUAUCCCUAUGUUUCCCAGGCUGAUCUCAAACUCCUGGCCUGAACUGACCUCCUGCCUCAACCGACCUCCUGCCUCAACCUCCAAAGCACUGGGAUUAACAGCAUAAGCCACUGUGCCCAGCCUAAUUUUUACUUUUCAACUUUGUACGUUGCGGUGUUUUUAAUACCCCUGCCAAGACCACAGUUUUAGGUAAACCGCCAUCCUGCCUAUACCCAUGUCCCUGUUCCCUUUCCUAGCUGUGUGACCUUGGGAAGUUCCCUUGCCUCACGAGGCAUCAACUUGCUCUUCUGUUAAACGGGGACAACAGAACCCCGUGAGACACUCUGACAAUCACAUGAAGCUAUGUGAAUAAAACAUGGGCCUAGUACAUAGCGAGUGUACAGCAGCUGCUCACUAGUCUUUCAACAAGUAGCGACUGAGAGUCUAUUACAUGCAGGCACAGGCAUAGGUGCUGGGGAUACAAGAAUGAGCAAAACACUGGUAAUGGGACAGACUGAUGGUAACGGGACAGACUGCUGGCAUAUUGGAAAUUCAGAAAACUCCCUGCCCUCCCAGUGGCAGGAGGUACAGCAAGCCGGCAAGUAAGUAAAAUACACUGGAUGUCAGAGGGUGGUGCUCAGUGUUGUGUGAGCAUCAAAGCAAAGAAAAGAAGAAGGGUGCUAAGCAGGGCUUAGACAUUUAAAUAAAGCCAUCAAGGAAAACGUUGCAGAGAAGAUAAUAUUUGAAUAAAAACUCAAAGAGGGUAAGAGUACAAAU